GACGAACGCUGGCGGCGUGCUUAACACACGCAAGUCGAACGGAAAGGCCCUGCUUGCAGGGUACUCGAGUGGCGAACGGGUGAGUAACACGUGGGUGAUCUGCCCUGCACUUCGGGAUAAGCCUGGGAAACUGGGUCUAUUACCGGAUAGGAGCCAUUUUGAGUGUGGUGGUUGGAAAGAUUUUUCGGUGUAGGAUGAGCUCGCGGCCUAUCAGCUUGUUGGUGGGGUAAUGGCCUACCAAGGCGGCGACGGGUAGCCGGCCUGAGAGGGUGGACGGCCACAUUGGGACUUAGGUACGGCCCCGGCCCCUACGGGGGGCAGCAGUGGGGAAUAUUGCACAAUGGGCGCAAGCCUGAUGCAGCGACGCCGCGUGGGGGAUGACGGCCUUCGGGUUGUAAACGCCUUUCGCUAGGGACGAAGCUUUUUGUGACGGUACCUAGAUAAGAAGCACCGGCUAACUACGUG
This 465-nucleotide ribosomal RNA is filed under the name uncultured bacterium. Its description in RNAcentral is "partial 16S ribosomal RNA". It matches the Rfam family "Bacterial small subunit ribosomal RNA", at positions 28 to 507 of the family's 1533-position model. The record is from RNAcentral.